CCUACGGGGGGCUGCAGUGGGGAAUAUUGGACAAUGGGGGCAACCCUGAUCCAGCCAUGCCGCGUGUGUGAAGAAGGCCCUCGGGUUGUAAAGCACUUUCAGUGAGGAAGAACGCCUGGUGGUUAAUACCCAUCAGGAAAGACAUCACUCACAGAAGAAGCACCGGCUAACUCCGUGCCAGCAGCCGCGGUAAUACGGAGGGUGCGAGCGUUAAUCGGAAUUACUGGGCGUAAAGCGCGCGUAGGUGGCUUGAUAAGCCGGUUGUGAAAGCCCCGGGCUCAACCUGGGAACGGCAUCCGGAACUGUCAAGCUAGAGUGCAGGAGAGGAAGGUAGAAUUGCCGGUGUAGCGGUGAAAUGCGUAGAGAUCGGGAGGAAUACCAGUGGCGAAGGCGGCCUUCUGGACUGACACUGACACUGAGGUGCGAAAGCGUGGGUAGCAAACAGGAUUAGAUACCCCUGUAGUC
RNAcentral lists this ribosomal RNA (465 nucleotides) under Vreelandella stevensii. RNAcentral describes it as "partial 16S ribosomal RNA". It matches the Rfam family "Bacterial small subunit ribosomal RNA", at positions 338 to 795 of the family's 1533-position model. Lineage: Bacteria; Pseudomonadati; Pseudomonadota; Gammaproteobacteria; Oceanospirillales; Halomonadaceae. The record is from RNAcentral.